CCCAGACAGCCAGGAUGUUGGCUUAGAAGCAGCCAUCAUUUAAAGAAAGCGUAAUAGCUCACUGGUCGAGUCGGCCUGCGCGGAAGAUGUAACGGGGCUAAACCAUGCACCGAAGCUGCGGCAGCGACACUCAGGUGUUGUUGGGUAGGGGAGCGUUCUGUAAGCCUGCGAAGGUGGCCUGUGAGGGUUGCUGGAGGUAUCAGAAGUGCGAAUGCUGACAUAAGUAACGAUAAAGCGGGUGAAAAGCCCGCUCGCCGGAAGACCAAGGGUUCCUGUCCAACGUUAAUCGGGGCAGG
This 296-nucleotide ribosomal RNA is filed under the name Salmonella enterica. Its description in RNAcentral is "partial 23S ribosomal RNA". It matches the Rfam family "Bacterial large subunit ribosomal RNA", at positions 1084 to 1378 of the family's 2925-position model. The record is from RNAcentral. RNAcentral also lists the same sequence under 4 other names. Lineage: Bacteria; Pseudomonadati; Pseudomonadota; Gammaproteobacteria; Enterobacterales; Enterobacteriaceae.